This 203-nucleotide ribosomal RNA is filed under the name Staphylococcus aureus. Its description in RNAcentral is "partial 16S ribosomal RNA". It matches the Rfam family "Bacterial small subunit ribosomal RNA", at positions 1 to 198 of the family's 1533-position model. Lineage: Bacteria; Bacillati; Bacillota; Bacilli; Caryophanales; Staphylococcaceae. The record is from RNAcentral.
UUUAUGGAGAGUUUGAUCCUGGCUCAGGAUGAACGCUGGCGGCGUGCCUAAUACAUGCAAGUCGAGCGAACGGACGAGAAGCUUGCUUCUCUGAUGUUAGCGGCGGACGGGUGAGUAACACGUGGAUAACCUACCUAUAAGACUGGGAUAACUUCGGGAAACCGGAGCUAAUACCGGAUAAUAUUUUGAACCGCAUGGUUCAA